Molecule: small nuclear RNA, 120 nt
Organism: Monodelphis domestica (gray short-tailed opossum)
Lineage: Eukaryota; Metazoa; Chordata; Mammalia; Didelphimorphia; Didelphidae
Gene: U4
Rfam family: U4 spliceosomal RNA
About the family: U4 small nuclear RNA (U4 snRNA) is a component of the major U2-dependent spliceosome. The structure of U4 snRNA from yeast and human has been reported. U4 snRNA presents a k-turn RNA motif in the 5p-SL related to recognition of Snu13 protein.
Source: Ensembl
AGCUUUGCACAGUGGCAGUAUUGUAGCCAAUGAGGUUUAUCAGAGGCGUGAUUAUUGCAAAUUGAAAUAAAAACAUUUUUCCAUUACCCAGAAAAAGACAUUUUGUCAGAAUCCCCAUUC